This 496-nucleotide ribosomal RNA is filed under the name uncultured bacterium. RNAcentral describes it as "partial 16S ribosomal RNA". It matches the Rfam family "Bacterial small subunit ribosomal RNA", at positions 28 to 506 of the family's 1533-position model. The record is from RNAcentral.
GAUGAACGCUGGCGGCGUGCCUAAUACAUGCAAGUCGAGCGAACAGAUGAGGAGCUUGCUCCUCUGACGUUAGCGGCGGACGGGUGAGUAACACGUGGAUAACCUACCUAUAAGACUGGGAUAACUUCGGGAAACCGGAGCUAAUACCGGAUAAUAUAUUGAACCGCAUGGUUCAAUAGUGAAAGACGGUUUUGCUGUCACUUAUAGAUGGAUCCGCGCCACAUUAGCUAGUUGGUAAGGUAACGGCUUACCAAGGCAACGAUGCGUAGCCGACCUGAGAGGGUGAUCGGCCACCCUGGACCUGAGACACGGUCCAGACUCCUACGGGAGGCAGCAGUAGGGAAUCUUCCGCAAUGGGCGAAAGCCUGACGGAGCAACGCCGCGUGAGUGAUGAAGGUCUUCGGAUCGUAAAACUCUGUUAUUAGGGAAGAACAAAUGUGUAAGUAACUAUGCACGUCUUGACGGUACCUAAUCAGAAAGCCACGGCUAACUACGU